RNAcentral lists this ribosomal RNA (253 nucleotides) under uncultured bacterium. Its description in RNAcentral is "partial 16S ribosomal RNA". It matches the Rfam family "Bacterial small subunit ribosomal RNA", at positions 524 to 776 of the family's 1533-position model. The record is from RNAcentral.
UACGGGGGGGGCAAGCGUUGUUCGGAAUUACUGGGCGUAAAGCGUGCGCAGGCGGUUUGCUAAGACAGGUGUGAAAUCCCCGGGCUUAACCUGGGAACUGCGCUUGUAACUGGCAAGCUGGAGUGUGGCAGAGGGGGGUGGAAUUCCACGUGUAGCAGUGAAAUGCGUAGAGAUGUGGAGGAACACCGAUGGCGAAGGCAGCCCCCUGGGCUAACACUGACGCUCAUGCACGAAAGCGUGGGGAGCAAACAGG